Hibiscus syriacus is the source of this 475-nucleotide long non-coding RNA. RefSeq lists it as uncharacterized. The transcript has 3 exons. The record is from RefSeq and is a predicted model, not a curated record. NCBI's taxonomy places the organism in Eukaryota, Viridiplantae, Streptophyta, Magnoliopsida, Malvales, Malvaceae.
AUCAUCUUCAGUAAAUUGGGCUUGAAAUUGAAUCUAUUGCCACCGUCCGUUCCUUGCGUCUUCAGUAUCAUCUUCAGUAAAUCGCACCUUCAGUCGUCAGCAUUCACUCCGUCGGUUCCUUGCGUCGCGCCUUCAGUCGCCACCAUUCACUCCUUCGGUUCCUUGCGUCGCGCCUUCAGUCACCACCAUUCACUCCGUCGGUUCCUUGCGUCGGUUCCUUGUAUUAAAUUGCAUCAUUCAUCUUUUGGCUGUGCUCAGGUUGAUUCUCAAGGUGACAACACUUGCACACAGUUUGGCAAAGCAUAGGAAAUCGUCAACAUUAGAGUCCAAGGAUCUCUUGCUACACUUAGAGAAAAACUGGAAAUUGACUGUUACAGGAUUUUCAAGUGAAGAGCGGAAUCAAAGAAGCCCGGUAAGCAUUUCUGUUUGUUGUUUACUAGAUGUCAGUGCUCAAAAUGUCUAAGAAUUUUGACUU